This 447-nucleotide ribosomal RNA is filed under the name uncultured eukaryote. Its description in RNAcentral is "bacterial SSU rRNA". It matches the Rfam family "Eukaryotic small subunit ribosomal RNA", at positions 592 to 1060 of the family's 1831-position model. The record is from RNAcentral.
CAAUAGCGUAUAUUAAUGUUGUUGCAGUUAAAAAGCUCGUAGUCGGAUUUUGGGAGCAUGUUGCACUGUCUGCCGAUUGGUAUGUACGGUUUAACGGCUUCAUUCCUUGACAAAACUCUGGUGGGCCUUCAUUGGUCUACUUGUUGGGUUGUCGUCUUUUACUUUGAAAAAUUAGAGUGUUCAAAGCAGGCCUAUGCUCUGAAUAGGUUAGCAUGGAAUAAUAGAAUAGGACUUUGGUUCUAUUUUGUUGGUUUCUAGGACCGAAGUAAUGAUUAAUAGGGACAGUUGGGGGCAUUUUUAUUCCAUUGUCAGAGGUGAAAUUCUUGGAUUAACGGAAGAAAAACUACUGCGAAAGCAUCUGCCAAGGAUGUUUUCAUUGAUCAAGAAUAUACAAAAGCACGCAGGUACUGCGAAAUUGAUCAAGAACGAAAGUUAGGGGAUCGAAGA